This 301-nucleotide ribosomal RNA is filed under the name uncultured bacterium. Its description in RNAcentral is "partial 16S ribosomal RNA". It matches the Rfam family "Bacterial small subunit ribosomal RNA", at positions 509 to 807 of the family's 1533-position model. The record is from RNAcentral.
CAGCCGCCGCGGUAAUACGGAGUGUGCAAGCGUUAAUCGGAAUUACUGGGCGUAAAGCGCACGCAGGCGGUCUGUCAAGUCGGAUGUGAAAUCCCCGGGCUCAACCUGGGAACUGCAUUCGAAACUGGCAGGCUAGAGUCUUGUAGAGGGGGGUAGAAUUCCAGGUGUAGCGGUGAAAUGCGUAGAGAUCUGGAGGAAUACCGGUGGCGAAGGCGGCCCCCUGGACAAAGACUGACGCUCAGGUGCGAAAGCGUGGGGAGCAAACAGGAUUAGAUACCCGUGUAGUCCCUGUCUCUUAUAC